Molecule: ribosomal RNA, 655 nt
Filed under: Providencia rettgeri
Lineage: Bacteria; Pseudomonadati; Pseudomonadota; Gammaproteobacteria; Enterobacterales; Morganellaceae
Description: bacterial SSU rRNA
Rfam family: Bacterial small subunit ribosomal RNA
Source: RNAcentral
GUACGGCCGCAAGGUUAAAACUCAAAUGAAUUGACGGGGGCCCGCACAAGCGGUGGAGCAUGUGGUUUAAUUCGAUGCAACGCGAAGAACCUUACCUACUCUUGACAUCCAGAGAAUUUAGCAGAGAUGCUUUAGUGCCUUCGGGAACUCUGAGACAGGUGCUGCAUGGCUGUCGUCAGCUCGUGUUGUGAAAUGUUGGGUUAAGUCCCGCAACGAGCGCAACCCUUAUCCUUUGUUGCCAGCGAUUCGGUCGGGAACUCAAAGGAGACUGCCGGUGAUAAACCGGAGGAAGGUGGGGAUGACGUCAAGUCAUCAUGGCCCUUACGAGUAGGGCUACACACGUGCUACAAUGGCGUAUACAAAGAGAAGCGACCUCGCGAGAGCAAGCGGAACUCAUAAAGUACGUCGUAGUCCGGAUUGGAGUCUGCAACUCGACUCCAUGAAGUCGGAAUCGCUAGUAAUCGUAGAUCAGAAUGCUACGGUGAAUACGUUCCCGGGCCUUGUACACACCGCCCGUCACACCAUGGGAGUGGGUUGCAAAAGAAGUAGGUAGCUUAACCUUCGGGAGGGCGCUUACCACUUUGUGAUUCAUGACUGGGGUGAAGUCGUAACAAGGUAACCGUAGGGGAACCUGCGGUUGGAUCACCUCCUUACC